AUAAGAUCAACCACACACGAAAAAAAUAUCAAGAUGGAGAACCACCACCAAAAAGCUACCAAUGGUUUCUCCAAACCAACCGAUUACAGUACAGCCGGAAGGGUCAUCACCUGCAAAGGUAAGGGGUUCAUUUUUUACAAGAAAUAUUCAUACUUUCUCAUUCUUUUAUGUCUAUUUUAUGAAACACUAAAACUUACAUGUGUUUGUGGUGGUGAAGCUGCUGUUGUAUGGGUUCCAGGAGAACCUUUUGUCAUGGAACAAGUUCAAGUCGAUCCACCUCAAAAAUUGGAAGUUCGAAUCAAGAUCCUCUUCACCUCAAUCUGCCAUACUGAUCUUAGUGCUUGGUUAGGAGAGGUAUGUAUAUAUGAUAUAUAAAUAUGUCUUUAAGUCGAUACACACACACACACACAUUAGUAUAUUUAAGCGAACCUUUCUUGUUACUUUUUUAUAGAAUGAAGCACAACGAGCCUUUCCUCGAAUAUUAGGCCAUGAAGCUUCCGGGUAAGUCAUGUCUAGCACCAGUUUACAGUACAUAUAACACUGAACUUAUAGAUAACAAUAUCAACUAAAUAUCGAUCAAAAUAUCAAUCAAACCAUUAAUCUUACCCUUUUUAGAAUUAAACCCCUCAAGUUAAUCUUUUUCUAUUUGUUGGGAAAUGAACAGAAUUGUUGAGAGUGUGGGUGAAGGUGUGAUGGACAUAAAAGAAGGGGACCAUGUGGUACCAAUUUUCAACGGAGAGUGUGGCGAGUGCAAGUGUUGCAAGUCUGAGAAAACCAAUAUUUGCAGCAACUCUGGAGUGAACGGAUUUAAGAAGGUGAUGACUAACGAUGGAAAAAGUAGGUUUUCGACCAAAGAUGGAAAAGCAAUUUACCAUUUUCUCAACACUUCAACUUUCAGUGAGUAUACAGUGCUUGAAUCUGCUUGUGUUGUGAAGAUCGACCCUGAGGCUCCUAUGAAGAAGAUGACCUUGCUAAGUUGUGGUGUUUCAACUGGUAA
This 997-nucleotide long non-coding RNA is filed under the name Malus domestica (apple). RNAcentral describes it as "long non-coding RNA (MDOM_LNC006207)". Lineage: Eukaryota; Viridiplantae; Streptophyta; Magnoliopsida; Rosales; Rosaceae. The record is from RNAcentral.